RNAcentral lists this ribosomal RNA (465 nucleotides) under uncultured bacterium. RNAcentral describes it as "bacterial SSU rRNA". It matches the Rfam family "Bacterial small subunit ribosomal RNA", at positions 338 to 795 of the family's 1533-position model. The record is from RNAcentral.
CCUACGGGGUGCACCAGUGGGGAAUAUUGCACAAUGGGCGCAAGCCUGAUGCAGCCAUGCCGCGUGUAUGAAGAAGGCCUUCGGGUUGUAAAGUACUUUCAGCGAGGAGGAAGGCGAUAAGGUUAAUAACCUUGUCGAUUGACGUUACUCGCAGAAGAAGCACCGGCUAACUCCGUGCCAGCAGCCGCGGUAAUACGGAGGGUGCAAGCGUUAAUCGGAAUUACUGGGCGUAAAGCGCACGCAGGCGGUCUGUCAAGUCGGAUGUGAAAUCCCCGGGCUCGACCUGGGAACUGCAUUCGAAACUGGCAGGCUAGAGUCUUGUAGAGGGGGGUAGAAUUCCAGGUGUAGCGGUGAAAUGCGUAGAGAUCUGGAGGAAUACCGGUGGCGAAGGCGGCCCCCUGGACAAGGACUGACGCUCAGGUGCGAAAGCGUGGGGAGCAAACAGGAUUAGAUACCCGAGUAGUC